AAUUACUACUUAAAUGUGGUUAAAAUCAAACUAACACAUUAGAAAAUUUAAUAAUUUGUUCUAUUAAUUCAUUUUCUCCUUGUUUAGUUUUGUAAAAUUUAUUUUUUUUGUGAAGUAAAUUUUUUUUAGUAAAUUUUUUAUAAAUGCUUUUUUAACUUUUUUUAAUUAAAUUUUUUUAAAUACAAUUUCAAUUUGAAAUUGAUUAUGUACCUAGUUUUGAGAGCUCUAAAACUCUCAAAAUGUCUGAAAAAGACAAUUAGCUCUUUCAAAACUGAACAGUAACAAUUUUAUAUCUGAUCUAAAAAUCAGAUAAUAUUCCAAAGUCUUUUAAAAUUAAACCGAGUUUAUUUUUAAAAUUUUAUAACUUUUAGUUAUAAAAACUCUAAAAUUGUUAAAAUACCUUAAGAUAUAUUAUCUAAAUAG
Molecule: unclassified non-coding RNA, 423 nt
Filed under: Mesomycoplasma ovipneumoniae
Lineage: Bacteria; Bacillati; Mycoplasmatota; Mycoplasmoidales; Metamycoplasmataceae
Description: Mycoplasma ovipneumoniae partial 16S-23S ribosomal RNA intergenic spacer
Source: RNAcentral